RNAcentral lists this ribosomal RNA (425 nucleotides) under uncultured bacterium. RNAcentral describes it as "bacterial SSU rRNA". It matches the Rfam family "Bacterial small subunit ribosomal RNA", at positions 355 to 776 of the family's 1533-position model. The record is from RNAcentral.
UAAGGAAUAUUGGGCAAUGGACGCAAGUCUGACCCAGCCAUGCCGCGUGCAGGAUGACGGCCCUAUGGGUUGUAAACUGCUUUUGUACGGGAAAAAAUCCUCGGUCGUGCAUCGAGGUUGAUGGUACCGUAAGAAUAAGGAUCGGCUAACUCCGUGCCAGCAGCCGCGGUAAUACGGAGGAUCCAAGCGUUAUCCGGAUUCAUUGGGUUUAAAGGGUGCGCAGGCGGAAUAAUAAGUCAGAGGUGAAAUCCCACGGCUCAACUGUGGAACUGCCUUUGAUACUGUCAUUCUAGAGUAUAGUUGGAGUGGGCGGAAUGUAGCAUGUAGCGGUGAAAUGCUUAGAUAUGCUACAGAACACCGAUCGUGAAGACAGCUCACUAAGCUAUAACUGACGCUCAUGCACGAAAGCGUGGGGAUCAAACAGG